AGAAAAGUCACUUGAGAGAAAACCCACUUUUAGUUUAGUUCUACUCAUCCAUAGCUAAUAAAUUUCAUUCUCACAUGAAAAUCCCUCCUUUCAAGCCUUUAUAGAGUUCACAGUAGUGUAGCAUAUGACGAAAUCUAGUUGGGGUUACUGCACUUAGGACGUACAUUUUGGGUAGUUGAGCAAACCUUUAUCAGUUUCCCUACAUUUUGUUGACCAGUGAUCUACAUGGGAAAACGGGUCUUGAAUCUUGUUGACAUCUUUUCUUAUUCAUAAUUUUCUUUGGGUUGCUCAGCGCUCAGCUUUUGGCUUUUCAAAAAUUUGACCUUCUUCAGCUUUUCCUUUUUGUUCCCUUAUCUUGAUUUUAACUUAUAAUGCUUGCUGGUUUGCCAUAGAUCGCUUUUCACAAUGCAUAUGAGGAAAUUGUGUGGGUUAGAUUAGCUGUAGGGGAAAAAAGCUCGGUAGACAUGGGUCGGCUCAAUUUUGGCAAGGUAUUGGAUUGCCUUUGUCUGAGUCAAGGUUCAUCAAGCUCUUGCUUUUGCAUGAAUUCCGUGGAAAAUCAUGGUGAUGAGUUUGAAAAAAAGCCUCUGAUAGCAAGUGACAAAGGGCAGGUGCUCAGAUUGAAAGAUGUUGUUUCUGGUAACCAGACCUUGGCCUUUCAACUCAAGCCCAAGAUGGUGGUGCUGAAGGUGUCUAUGCACUGCUAUGGCUGUGCAAGGAAGGUUGAGAAACAUGUAUCAAGAUUGCAAGGAGUGACCUCAUACAAAGUUGACCUGGAAAGCAAGAUGGUGGUUGUUAUUGGAGACAUAAUUCCUUGUGAAGUGCUAGAAAGUGUUUCCAAGGUGAAAUAUGCUGAGCUUUGGAAUUCUCCAUUCUGAUAAUUACUUUAAAAAAUAUAUAUAUUGGGGGAAGAAGAAUUCAUCAUAUUUAUUUGUGCGAUUUAAAGCAUUCCCUUCCACAACCCCCAAGAAUUUACUUCAUGAUAUUUUAUUUAUAUAGUAUUUUUUUCUGUUUAUUUAUUAUAAGAACUUAUUAUUUUAUAUAUAUACACAUACACCACAUAUAAUACAUGCCUUGUUUUAUCCAUCGACUCUGUAACAUUUAUGCUAUUGUUAAUUAUUUAUGAAUUUG
RNAcentral lists this unclassified non-coding RNA (1128 nucleotides) under Hevea brasiliensis (rubber tree). Lineage: Eukaryota; Viridiplantae; Streptophyta; Magnoliopsida; Malpighiales; Euphorbiaceae. The record is from RNAcentral.